This 1185-nucleotide ribosomal RNA is filed under the name Triticum aestivum (bread wheat). RNAcentral's name for it is "partial small subunit ribosomal RNA". The record is from RNAcentral. Lineage: Eukaryota; Viridiplantae; Streptophyta; Magnoliopsida; Poales; Poaceae.
AUGGGGGACGGAAGCAAGCUGCGGCUCUGGUGCUCGGCGUUCGCCUGCGCGCUGGCGGUCCUCGAGGCGGACGGCUAUUUCGUGGACAUUACCUACGUCGACAGCGCCGUGGCCAAAGGGGCAGUAUGUCUGGACGGGAGUCCCCCUGCGUACCAUCUCGCCCGUGGCUCCGGCUCCGGGUCGAACAGCUGGUUGGUUCAUUUUGAGGGAGGAGGAUGGUGCAACAAUGUGACGACCUGCCUGCAGCGGUCGCACACCCGGUUAGGCUCCUCCAAGGAGAUGGCCAAGCAGGUUGCCUUCUCCGGGAUCUUGAGCAACACCCCGGAUUACAACCCAGACUUCUACAACUGGAACAAGGUCCGGGUCCGGUACUGCGACGGCUCGUCUUUCACUGGCGACAAGGAAGAAGUUGAUCCGAGAACAAAUCUACACUACAGAGGUGCGAGGGUAUGGCAAGCAGUUAUGGAAGAUCUGCUCGCUAAAGGAAUGAACAAAGCUGAAAAUGCUCUAAUUUCGGGAUGUUCUGCUGGUGGAUUAACUUCGAUACUGCACUGUGACAGAUUUCAUCGGCUUCUGCCGGCGGCGGCCAAUGUUAAGUGCCUUUCUGAUGCUGGCUUCUUCAUCAAUGUGAAGGACAUUGCUGGAGUAAACCAUGCUGCGGCCUUUUUCAGUGAUGUAGUUAAGACUCAUGGCUCGGCCAAGAAUUUACCAUCUUCGUGCACUUCCAAGUUGCCUGCAGGCAUGUGCCUUUUUCCUCAGAAUGAGGUGAAACAGAUUCAGACACCCCUGUUCAUCCUGAAUGCAGCAUACGAUUCAUGGCAGGUACGGAACAUUUUGGUGCCUGGAGGUUCUGAUCCUCGCUGGCGAAGCUGCAAGCACGACAUAAACCAGUGCUCGGCGAAGCAACUUAAGAUUUUACAGGGAUUCAGGGACCAUUUCCUGGAAGCAAUCGAGGCCCAAGGGGACUCACCCACCAGAGGGCUGUUCAUAAACUCGUGCUUCGCGCACUGCCAGUCCGAGAUACAGGAGAUCUGGUUCGCGCCCGGCUCGCCGGUGCUCGGAGGCAAAAGAAUAGCAAGCGCGGUUGGGGACUGGUUCUACGGCCGCAGUGGGUUUCAGAAGACGGACUGCCCUUACCCCUGUGACUCCACCUGCCAUGUCUUCAAGAACGCCUCCCACACGUAG